GGCGGGGCGCGGUCGGGCCUCGGACACCUGGCAGGGAGCUAGCGGGAGGGCUUGGGGAAUCUGCAAAUGUUCACAGUUCCAAGGGACCGCGGGGGAAAUUUACACCUCCUCCCCCUACUGCUUGUGCUUCCUUUCGCUUUGAAGUUCUGUGGCUCCGCACUGGAGUUGGGGAGGCAAGUCCUCCAGCCUCGGGCUUUUAAUAUUCACAUCACGUCCUCUUUGCAGCUACUUUGGGAGGAUUGAAAGCUACAAAGGACGUUUGGGUGACCUCCCCACAACACAAGGUGGGGUGGGGGGUUUCAACCCACACUGCCCCAUCUUGAAUCGCCAUGGAUGACCAAGUAGUUGAAACACGACGGGGGACUUAGGUGCCAGUCCUUCUAGGCAGAAGGGCCCUCUUGGCCUGGAAGUGACACAGAUCAUGUCUGCUCACAUUUCAUGGACAGAAUUAGUUUUAUGGCCCCACCUAACUGCAGGGGCUGAGAAAUGUAGAGGUGCGAAUGUAACUUGUGGUGAGCGUUACUGUCUCUGCUGCAUGUCAUCAGCAUAUGGGAGGUGAUUAAAUCUGAAAGAGAAAGGACAAGAUCGAUCAAGGUAAAGCCCACAGAACGAAAAGAGAAUAGUCAAGGACAAAACCCAGGGAAUCACCUUCUAUAAGUGAAACAAGGAAGAGAGGAGCCCAAGGAUGACACCGAAAAGUGACAUGAAAAGAGUUAAGAAUUAUGAGCCAAUAGUGUUACUCGAGCCAAGGAAGUAUGUCUAUACAGAGGUGCAGAGCAGCAAAUACAGCCUGGAGGAGCAGUAGGAUAAAGACUGAAGUCUCCACUGCAUUUGACCAUCAAGAGGGGGCUGGAGAAUGUCUUAAUAGAAGUGUCUCCUUGCAGUGAAUAUUUACCCAGGUUUUUGUUCUAGAAAAAAAUGGUCAUUUCUAGAGCUGUAUGGGACAGGGCUGUGUUCCUGAGGCCAUAGCCCCCAGAAGUCUUCUGAAAGUGAUGGUGGCAAUUCAGGUAGGUAGUCUGUCUUUAGCUGACAGUAUCAUUUGAAAUGUUUAAUAAAUUUGCAAUUGAUGACUAGCUAACGGGGUGAGAUAAGACCUGUAAAAGUACAGACCCUGAGAAUUGAAAGAAACCGUAAGCUGUGUAAACUGAAAUGAAAAGUGAUGUUUACCUAUUAUUCAUUAGUAUUCUUAUAGAGUGGCAAUAUCAUAACUUGGGAAGUUUACCUAAAGUGCAGUUAUUAUUACACUUGAUUUUAGCCAAAAGGCCG
Molecule: long non-coding RNA, 1266 nt
Filed under: Homo sapiens (human)
Lineage: Eukaryota; Metazoa; Chordata; Mammalia; Primates; Hominidae
Description: HSALNT0013580
Source: RNAcentral